RNAcentral lists this non-coding RNA (28 nucleotides) under Rattus norvegicus (Norway rat). The record is from RNAcentral. Lineage: Eukaryota; Metazoa; Chordata; Mammalia; Rodentia; Muridae.
UCCCAAAGUCUAGACCAGCAUUUCAGGA